This is a non-coding RNA of Arabidopsis thaliana (thale cress), 96 nucleotides long. RefSeq annotates it as other RNA. The record is from RefSeq. NCBI's taxonomy places the organism in Eukaryota, Viridiplantae, Streptophyta, Magnoliopsida, Brassicales, Brassicaceae. The transcript has a single exon.
CUAAGUGAUUGGUCUAAUGGGUCUAAGAUAGUGUCCCAAUUCUUUGAGCCUAAGAGUUCUUCCCAUGAUGUGGUUGUUGUAGCCAUUAGAGAGAAA